Molecule: ribosomal RNA, 301 nt
Filed under: uncultured bacterium
Lineage: Bacteria
Description: partial 16S ribosomal RNA
Rfam family: Bacterial small subunit ribosomal RNA
Source: RNAcentral
CAGCAGCCGCGGGAAUACGAAGGGGGCUAGCGUUGUUCGGAAUUACUGGGCGUAAAGCGCGCGUAGGCGGACAUUUAAGUCAGGGGUGAAAUCCCGGGGCUCAACCCCGGAACUGCCUCUGAUACUGGGUGUCUAGAGUUCGGAAGAGGUAAGUGGAAUUGCGAGUGUAGAGGUGAAAUUCGUAGAUAUUCGCAGGAACACCAGUGGCGAAGGCGACUUACUGGUCCGAUACUGACGCUGAGGUGCGAAAGCGUGGGGAGCAAACAGGAUUAGAUACCCCCGUAGUCCCUGUCUCUUAUAC